AGGGUGCUAGCUCAAUGGAAGAGCACCCGCCUUACAAGCACGAGGUUGGUGGUUCGAUUCCUCCGUGCCCUA
Picea glauca (white spruce) is the source of this 72-nucleotide non-coding RNA. The record is from Rfam. Lineage: Eukaryota; Viridiplantae; Streptophyta; Pinopsida; Pinales; Pinaceae.